This 451-nucleotide unclassified non-coding RNA is filed under the name Hevea brasiliensis (rubber tree). Lineage: Eukaryota; Viridiplantae; Streptophyta; Magnoliopsida; Malpighiales; Euphorbiaceae. The record is from RNAcentral.
UACUGACUUACUUCCUUCUUGAUCCUAUCAAAUUUGCUGUGCGCUAUGCACUCAGUGGAAAAGCUUGGGGUCUGGUGGUAGAGCAAAGGACUGCAUUCACCAGUAAGAAGGAUUUUGGAAAGGAAGCUCGUGAAGCUGCGUGGGCGACUGAACAGCGAACACUACAUGGCCUCCAGUCAGUUGAGACAAAAAUGUUUUCGGAGAGGACCCCUUUUAGGGAAAUCAGCGUCAUGGCUGAAGAAGCUAAAAGGCGUGCAGAGAUUGCAAGGUUGAGGGAACUUCACACACUCAAAGGAAAGGUUGAAUCAUUUGCCAAGUUAAGGGGCUUGGACAUCGAUGCCAUUAACCAGCACUACACCGUCUGAAUAUUUUUAUUAUUUUUUCCUCUCCUCCUUCGUUACUUUCUCGCCUUUCCAUGUUCGUUCUAUGUUACUUUUCAAAUCAUAUGGCG